Long non-coding RNA from Brassica napus (rape), 2128 nucleotides. RefSeq lists it as uncharacterized. The transcript is spliced from 2 exons. The record is from RefSeq and is a predicted model, not a curated record. Lineage: Eukaryota; Viridiplantae; Streptophyta; Magnoliopsida; Brassicales; Brassicaceae.
GGUAUUUGAAUAUAUUUCAGAUAUUUAUUUUGGUUUUCAGGUAUAUGUCAAGAGAAACGCAUUUUUAAUUAAAAAAUGAAAGUUCACAUCGUUAAUACAUUUCAAUAAUGAAAAUAUAUUUUCUUAAAUAUUGUAUAUCUAUAUUUUUAGACAUAAAUAUCAUCUUUAAAUAUGUUUUGAACAAAUCUCACACUUUGAAAAUAAAAUAAUAACGAAUGAUAAAAUGAAACUCAAUUGUUAAAAUGCAAAAUCAAAAAUAAUGGUAAUUCUUAAAUUAAUUAAUGAUAAAUUAAAAAUAAAUAUCAAAUCUAACUAUAUUAAAAGGAAGAUAUACUCAAUUCUAAAACUGUGCAUGUAGGAUUAAAAAAAUAGCCAAAGAGAACUUUUUUUUAACACGUCAUACCUGUUUCUGUGCAAAGAAGAGAGAAACUGGGUUUUCGUCUGGGCUGUCCAAAGAUAAAAAGUCAGUUCAAGCCCAUUAAUGCUUAGCCUAACAAACGUGGAAGCGUUGAGCUCAUCUUCCCUAUCCCAACUCUUAAGCUUCAUCUUUACAGUUGGUGUAUAUGAUAAUGGGAAUUUUAUUCUUAAGCUUAAGGUUGGAAUGAAAAAUGUCUGCAUAGACCCAACCAGACACUGUCACAUUCUUUGAAGGUUAUCAAGAUAUCAGUAGGACAGCUAUGAAUCUGAAGUUUGGCACUAUAAUAUAGGAGUUGCGAAGAGGAUCGGCGACGGCUCCACCGAUUGAGAUGCUCCGUGAAGGAUUACGCUUGGGGCAAAAUUGGGUCGGAUUCACUCGUGUACAGAGUCUACGCGGUGAAUUCCGAUGGACAGAUCGAUUCGACAAGACCGUACGCGGAGCUUUGGAUGGGGACUCACGAGUCAGGUCCGAGUUACUUGGAGGAUGAUGCUGAUGGCGUCACGCUUAGAUCGUGGAUUGCUGAAAACCCUGAGGCUCUUGGAGAUAGGGUUUUGGAUAAAUGGGGUUGCGAUCUCUCGUUUCUCUUCAAGGUACAUUGUUAAAGAUCUCUGCUUUUUUUUUUUUAGGAUUUGGAGACUUGAUUUGGUUCGCCAUGAACUUGGACAACGUCAGGAGUCACUCUUGAGAUUCAGAUCUUUGGGGAUUUCAAAUGGUUUAAUGCUUCUUAUGUUCCUGUCUUCGAGGGGCUACAAGAAUCUGAUAGGCAUAUCUAUUAUUUCUCUUCACACAAUAAUAAUGGACGAAGACAAAGCAAAUUCAAAAACCCCAAAUAUCUCAUGAAGUGUAAUAUUCUUCAUUCCCAGCUUAGAGAUCUCUGACAUAUUUUGAUAUUUGAGCUUCUAGGCAUUUCACAGACGGCUUUGAGUGAUGUUCUUCCUGAGUAUGUGGAAUCACACGUGUGGAAGAAGAGGCCAGAUUAAAAGUUGAUGCAGCUGCAAACCAACAAGAAAAAUAAACAAAGGUACAUAUACAAAUUUCACUAUAAUAUAUGACUAUCUAUCUUAUGUCUUCCCUUUGUUGGUGUCACUUGGAGUCACAGAAUCUAAUGAAUCCAGCUUAGUGUUUCAGUGUAUACAAUGGGAUAUAUAUAUAAAACACUAGCUGAAUAAAGCAGGUUAGCCAGAAAAUGAACUGGCAGCAUUGAAGAGGCAGCUCAUGUCCCCAAUGUCUACCACAGUUACAUCAUAUGAUGGUACAAGGAAACUGGGGUUUGUGAGCCGGUUACAGGGAAUGUGCAAGGUACUGAGCUUCCUGAACAGUGUGAUGAUGAUCUGUUGGAGAAGACAAAGUAGAGAUCGCUCAUAAAGAAGUCCAUGAUGCUUUGUUUGGAGGACCUGCCAGAAAUAGAGAGGAAGCCGGUAAAGAAGCUAAAGAAGACAUUGAAAAUGGUAACCAAGGCUUUGGGUGUGCUAGAGAGGACAAAUAGACACAAACUAGCUCAGUGAGUAAAUCAUGUUGACUAAUUACUUGUGAUACAGUUUGGAAUUAUAAUAUGCAGAACAUGAUCGUAUUAUUAUCGUGAGAUAUUAUGUACUUCUGUUUUUUCUCAAUUCCACAAUGUUAAUUUAUUGCAGAGUUCUUUGUACUCUUUCCAUUACUUGGCAUGUCACUGGAAUUACAUCUUUGAAUGUGCAAUCUUUAUUUUAGGUA